This 482-nucleotide ribosomal RNA is filed under the name uncultured bacterium. RNAcentral's name for it is "partial 16S ribosomal RNA". It matches the Rfam family "Bacterial small subunit ribosomal RNA", at positions 30 to 507 of the family's 1533-position model. The record is from RNAcentral.
AUUGAACGCUGGCGGCAUGCUUUACACAUGCAAGUCGAACGGUAACAGGCCGCAAGGUGCUGACGAGUGGCGAACGGGCGAGUAAUGCAUCGGAACGUGCCCAGUCGUGGGGGAUAACUACUCGAAAGAGUAGCUAAUACCGCAUACGAUCUAUGGAUGAAAGCGGGGGACCGUAAGGCCUCGCGCGAUUGGAGCGGCCGAUGUCAGAUUAGGUAGUUGGUGGGGUAAAGGCUCACCAAGCCAACGAUCUGUAGCUGGUCUGAGAGGACAACCAGCCACACUGGGACUGAGACACGGCCCAGACUCCUACGGGAGGCAGCAGUGGGGAAUUUUGGACAAUGGGCGCAAGCCUGAUCCAGCAAUGCCGCGUGCAGGAAGAAGGCCUUCGGGUUGUAAACUGCUUUUGUACGGAACGAAACGGCUCUGGUUAAUACCCGGGGCUAAUGACGGUACCGUAAGAAUAAGCACCGGCUAACUACGUG